AAAAAUACAAUACAAAAAACUACAAGAGAAAAGUCAAAUGGAAAGAAUUUUAAAGAAGGCCUCCAAAACACACAAGAGAAGAGUUGAGGAUUUCAACAGACACCUGGACGCACUGACAGAGCAUUACGACAUUCCCAAAGUCAGCUGGACGAAAUAAAUAUUUUCGACUGGGUGCAUUCAGAGCAAAAUCAGCUGCCAUGAUGUUACCGUACAUGCUUCUUGCUUACUCUGCAACAAAGUCAUUUCCAUUUGGGUUGUAUUAAAAUUAUUCACUGUAUAUUGAGAUUAUGUUUUGUAGCUUUUGGUUAAACUAUUUAAGAUUUUGAUUGGGUUUUGUUUAUUGUACCUAUGGUAACUUUUAAUUCUCUUGCCCCCUAUGUUAUAUCAAGUGUAAAAGAAUCUGGGUCUCGUCUUUGACGGUGAACUGAAGCUUGAUAAACAGGUUAAUUGUCUGGUUAAGUCUAGUUUUGUCCAUUUGAGAUCUUUAGCCAAAGUAUAAUCAUGUCUCGUAAGUCAUUUACUCACCCUCAUGCUGCUGCAAUCCUGUAUGACUUGCUUUCUUCUGUGCAUAAAAUCAUAAAAAAAGUCAGCAAACAGCACAAAAUAAC
Cyprinus carpio (common carp) is the source of this 608-nucleotide RNA transcript. RefSeq lists it as uncharacterized. The transcript is spliced from 3 exons. The record is from RefSeq and is a predicted model, not a curated record. Lineage: Eukaryota; Metazoa; Chordata; Actinopteri; Cypriniformes; Cyprinidae.